RNAcentral lists this long non-coding RNA (1843 nucleotides) under Naja naja (Indian cobra). RNAcentral's name for it is "lncRNA (ENSNNAG00000018918.1)". The record is from RNAcentral. Lineage: Eukaryota; Metazoa; Chordata; Lepidosauria; Squamata; Elapidae.
ACCCUACUCCCCAUGACUGCCGUAUUCCUUGUAGAAUGUUUCGAACCAGGUUUAUUGAUGGCAGCGGACAUUGUGAGACUCACCACAAAGGACAAAAUGCUGGCACAAGUUUUGAACUGGGUAUGGCGAGGUUGGCCGAACAAGAUGGAAGGGGAGGAAUUCAAACCUUUCAAAGAUAGACAGCUAGAGCUGUCAGCAUCAAGGGAGUGUUUGUUAUGGUGAGACAGGGUGGUGGUACCGCAACCAUUAAGGGAAAGAAUUCUGGGAUUACUAUGAAGGGCACCCCGGGAUAGUAAAAAUGGAGGCCCUAGCAAGGAGUUACACCUGGUGGCCGGGAAUAGACAAAGACAUUGAGACCUGGGUCGCCACAUGUUCACCAUGCUGGCCCCUCUCUCAGCAACCCUCCUAAAGUGGGAAAAGCCUGCAGCACCAUGGGGUCGCAUACACAUAGAGUUUGCAGGACCCUACCAGGGACAAAUGUUCUUAAUCGUGGUCGACACUUAUUCUAAAUGGUUGGAAGUGGUGAUCAUGAAAUCCACAACAACCGAGGCAAUGCUCCGAGCCCUGUGGAAAAUAUUCACCACCCACAAGCUACCUCAUGUGCUGGUUUCGGACAAUGGACCGCAAUUCACAGCACAGCAAUUCGAAAGCUUCCUCACCCAUCUGGGAAUCCGGCAUGCCCUUUCGGCACCAGCUCAUCUGGCGGCGAACGGGAAGCAGAAAGGAUGGUCUGAACGACCAAAGAACUUCUUAAAAAUUAGCCCCCGGUGACUGGCAAGAAAAAAUUUGACAAAUGGCUGCUAACCCAACACAUAACACCAAGCACAGCAACAAACAGAAGCCCAGCAGAAAUGCUGAUGAACAAAAGUUAAGGUCCACCCUGGACAGAAUCCAUGCUAACUAUACAAAUGACACCCCUCUAGAUUCCACAGGAAAGUGCAGAACAUUCACACCAGGAGACACAGUACAUGCACGCAACUACACAGGAGGGGAAACCUGGGUCCCGGGAAAAAUAAUCGCAAGUACCAGACCCAGAUCAUACAGACUGGAGAUAGAAGGGGGAAGAACAUGGAAUAGGCACAUAGACCAACUGCGGGGUCACAUAGUUCAACCCCCACUUGAAGCCGAGCAACACAAAACACCUCCGGCAACAACGACACCCCAGAAAGUAGAAACCCCACAAAAACACAGAUUAGCAAGGGAAACCUUGAAUGAAACAGUGAAGGACUUAGCUGUGGGGGGAGGAGUCCAGUGUAGUACUUCUGAGGCCUCGAGCUCAACAGAAACUGCCACGCCCCUGGAAACUUUUGAGGUGUUUCCAAGGGCGGAGUCUGGAGUAGCAGUGGACCUGUCUGUUCAGGCUGCCACCUCAGGAACAACUGAACCACGCAGGCCCAGUCGCACCCACAGAAGCCCUGCCUACCUGAAGGACUACAUCUGCCGUGGGCUCAGGAGAAAGACCCAAAAGCCCUUGACAGAAGUGGUGAAAUUUGGACACUUCUUUGUGCUGAAUUGCACAACAAACAGCAGCAGUAGCUGUGAUAUUCAGGAGAGGUCGUCUCAAAAGUAUGAUUAUAAUGACUUCAGCCCCACCUGGAAAACGUUCACUUUCAUUGUUGUUUACUGGUCACUCCGUGCAUCGUGUGUUGUGACCUGUAAUAAUGAAUCCAACUCUUGGGAAACAAUCGUCACCGUUUACCAACCUCCAGAGAAGAUUGAGCUGGGUCUAGUACCAGAAAUGGAAGUGGGCAAGCAGUAUAAUCUAACAUGCCGGGUUUCUGGUGUAGCCCCCAUCCGGAACCUCACCGUGACCUUGCUGAAGGGGAAGAGCAACUUCUGGUAA